GUACUCACUUCGGCAGCACACAUAUACUAAAAUUGGAGCCAUAUAGAGAAGAUUAGCAUGGCCCCGUCCAAGGAAGACACAAUAAGUGUUCUGUAUUUUU
Molecule: small nuclear RNA, 100 nt
Organism: Mesocricetus auratus (golden hamster)
Lineage: Eukaryota; Metazoa; Chordata; Mammalia; Rodentia; Cricetidae
Source: Ensembl